Molecule: ribosomal RNA, 254 nt
Filed under: uncultured bacterium
Lineage: Bacteria
Description: partial 16S ribosomal RNA
Rfam family: Archaeal small subunit ribosomal RNA
Source: RNAcentral
UACCGGCAGCCCGAGUGAUGGCCGCUAUUAUUGGGCCUAAAGCGUCCGUAGCCGGCCGGACAAGUCCGUUGGGAAAUCCGUUCGCUCAACGAACGGGCGUACAGCGGAAACUGUGCGGCUUGGGACAGGAAGGCACGAGGGGUACGUUCGGGGUAGGAGUGAAAUCCCGUAAUCCUGAACGGACCGCCGAUGGCGAAAGCACCUCGAGAGGACUGAUCCGACAGUGAGGGACGAAAGCUGGGGUCUCGAACCGG